AGUGAACGCUGGCGGUAGGCCUAACACAUGCAAGUCGAACGGCAGCACAGUAAGAGCUUGCUCUUACGGGUGGCGAGUGGCGGACGGGUGAGGAAUACAUCGGAAUCUACUUUUUCGUGGGGGAUAACGUAGGGAAACUUACGCUAAUACCGCAUACGACCUACGGGUGAAAGCAGGGGAUCUUCGGACCUUGCGCGAUUGAAUGAGCCGAUAUCGGAUUAGCUAGUUGGCGGGGUAAAGGCCCACCAAGGCGACGAUCCGUAGCUGUCUGAGAGGAUGAUCAGCCACACUGGAACUGAGACACGGUCCAGACUCCUACGGGAGGCAGCAGUGGGGAAUAUUGGACAAAGGGCGCAAGCCUGAUCCAGCCAUACCGCGUGGGUGAAGAAGGCCUUCGGGUUGUAAAGCCCUUUUGUUGGGAAAGAAAAGCAGCAGGUUAAUACCCCGCUGUUCUGACGGUACCCAAAGAAUAAGCACCGGCUAACUUCGUG
RNAcentral lists this ribosomal RNA (491 nucleotides) under uncultured bacterium. Its description in RNAcentral is "partial 16S ribosomal RNA". It matches the Rfam family "Bacterial small subunit ribosomal RNA", at positions 29 to 507 of the family's 1533-position model. The record is from RNAcentral.